Molecule: long non-coding RNA, 13212 nt
Organism: Bombus pyrosoma
Lineage: Eukaryota; Metazoa; Arthropoda; Insecta; Hymenoptera; Apidae
Exons: 2
Source: RefSeq, a predicted model, not a curated record
UUUAAAUUGAAAUCGGUUAUAAAUUAUGGUGAUGAGUUUGAAUACUAGGACUAGGACAAAUGGUUCUCGCUGCUCUGCUUUGUAUACUCAAUUUCAUAUUGCGUACAGUUGGUGAAGAAUAAACAUGAUCGUUUGCAAAUGCUUUCUCUUCCUCUUUCAUACACACAUGUACAAUCACGCGUGUUAUCUCAUACCUCUCCCUGAAUUCCUUUCGCUUUUAUAAAUGCACAUGCGCCUCUUUUUAUUUCUUCCACUUUCAUUUUCCUGUUUGUUAUUUUAUAACACAAUCGUAAUAAUGCCUGCUCAAUUAUGAUAAAUGCACCAAAUUCCAGCACGCAAUGUGCAUAAGGAAUGCAGUGCGAAAGAUAUCUUUUUCACUCAACAAUGUUCUAAGGAACAAAGUUUCGUAUGGCCCAUACAAAAUUCGAGAAACGUAACAUAUAACACCCUUAUGCGUAGUAGCUCUUACAUAAGAAUCAUUAUCGUUUAAUAAUUAUAUGAUAUCGUAAGAAAUUAAACGAAAUCAGAGAAGAUCGAAAGGUUAGAUUCGACCCAUCGCAUCGAACCGAUGUUGCUGCCCGCCAUCGUCGACUGCGCGUGCGUAUUGCGCAACAGUGACCGAGUUCCGCUUGUGAACAUCGAGUGACCAAAAUCUCCGAUCACCGCACUUCUUAUGCUCUAGGAUCUACAACAGCGAUUUUCAACCAUGUACCGUGAAAACUUUUGAAAGAUGCAGUAUUUAACUAUUUAAUUGAGGGCAUUGAUCUCAUUUUUCUUAGAUUGUCAAAUAAAAGAAUGACAACAACUAAAACAUAAUAUAUGUUUUGUCAUGCCGCAGAAUUUUAAUAAUCAAUUUAUGUGUUCUAUGAGAUGAAAGAGGUUGAAAAUCGCUGCUCCAGAAUCGUUCGAGGUUGACGCGUUGUACGAAUUGGUGAUGCUACAGACAAGAAACAAAUGAACCAGUUUCGUGGACAGCGCUCCACUGGUACCUCUCAAUCUCCAAUAUCAUUCGCGAAUCAAAAGACGCAAUCGAAAGGGAAUAUCUUCUAUUUGGUCACAUCUUUAAUCGUAAGUUGCCAGCAACUCUCUAAUACCAGCAUUGGAGCUCCGCUCACGACACAACGUCCAUAAUGGUACUCCUAAGAAGUAGCUCAUAUGGAGUAACUUCGAAGGUUCAAUCGGAAGUUUCUUGAGGAGUGAGACUUAUUGCAAAGAGACGUAAGUCUCUCAACAAAUUGGACACACAAUGCUGUUCCGGCGAUAAAAUGUUUACGAGACACAGUUAAUAAGGAACGCCACUCUGUUGCUGAAGCCACACACGAUGCGGUCCAUAAAAUAAUACGAUAAUUUCAUUUGAAUAUUUAAUCGCAUUUUAUUAUAGCAUGUUAAUACUUAAUGAAUAAAGUACUGGGUGAAUUGGGUGGUAGUAACUUUAUUUAAAUAAGUGAAUAAUUUAAGAGAAAAAAAAAGGAAUUAUUGCUAGAAAAAUUCGCAAGUGUUUCAUAUUUUAAUUCGGAAUAAAAGUAAAUGCAUCGCGAAGCAGAAAAAUAACAAUAAAAUACAAUAUCGUAAACGCGCAUCGCUUCGUGGGUUCAAAUCAACGAAGUAUGUAUCUCUCUACACAAAAUCGCCAUCGUUUACUGACUCUGCGUCGCCGACAUGGCAGUGAUUACAGCGAUAGAUCGAAAGUCGAUUGUUUGCGACUAUACAUACGAGCUCAAGCUUAGCGCGCCUCUCUUGUUUUACCACGAGAGACAUUCCAACUAGUAAUUGAGACUAAUGAACCGUUCUCCUCUACUCGACGUUGACCGAUUAAAGGCGAGUUCGAUUCUCGAAUAUCUCGAGGCUCGAACCGCUUCAACAAUCACACGCUCUGCCACAAAGAUCGUUUCCGAUUAUUCGUUCCAAUUCCAGCGCGAUUCGCGACGCGCUAUUUCGACGUGAACACGGGGAGACAGCGUCCGAUUUGUUGAAUCGAGACGAUAUAUCGAAAUCGAAAUGCGUGGUCUCCGCUCGAAUUGGAACGUGGUUUUCACUUACACGUAUCCUAUCCAUGGACAUAUGUAAGAAGUAUAGACCGUGGGUGUCUUAUGAAGAGUGCGGUCCUCGUUGAAAAAGAGAUAAAGAUAUUUACCGUUGCCUCCCUUUUUCUUUCUAACAGAUAUUUGUUUUUAAUAGAUAGGGAAGGAAAGAGAAAUCCCGUUACUUAUCCCUAUUUCUUUUACAACGAGGUCCAUUUUCUCAACACGGCAUCUGCGGUUAACACUUCUUAGAUCUAUGGUGCUAUCUACUUUAUUCAAAAGCGAAUUUAUCGAAGAAUUGCGCCACUCAGUUCACGUGUCCUUUUAUGCACCUUUUCUUUUCUCGUAUUUUCCAUGGUGGCUAUAAAUCACGAAUCAAAUGUCAGAUGUCCCCAAGCGUUCCCUCGCAUGGCUGACAGUGCAUGAAAAUGAAACGAACACGACGUGAACGAAGAGCACAAGAACGAAGACGAUGAAUAUGUCGUAUUUGAUCGAAUACAGUUCGCACGACCAUGGCUUGCAUGUGUACGGUAUGAACAUGUGUCAUUGCAAAAGUCGCCAUUGCGUUCGUUACACUCAUCUGUUUUCGAUUGAAGUUGGCUUCGAGUGUAAGAGCAAUAUCGAUAGUUCGAUCCAUUAUCCGAUAACGUAAUAUCGAUACAAGCACACGUUUCGAAUGUUGUUUCACGUCGAUCCCAUCGCAAAGUUAAAACGCCGAAGAAUCGUUCAAUCGUUUAUUCGUUCUUUACUUGAAUCAAUGGCGCCCGAUAACGUGGAUCUGCCAUCGAAUUGUGUUUCUGUUGCAAUAGCAGCCUUUGCAGUUCUACAAUCUUUUUUUUUGGAGAACGACUGCCAUAGUUGGUCCGCCAUAUUGGAUCCGAAGAGACGAAUUGACAACGAUCGUUCGAAAUAUACAUACGAUAAGUAAAUUAAGAGUAGCUAUACAAUUACUUAUUUUUGUAACUAUACAGUAAUUUAUUGGCAUCUUCUUAAUUUUAUUAAUAAUUAUUUAUACAAGAUCAAAUUGUGCUCGGCAGAAUGGUAACACUUGCUUUGAGCAGAAGGCCGUUCGCGUCCUUGAAUUUGUACGAGAUUUAUAUCAUGAUCAAUUUGUGUCUACUUUAUCGUAAUUUCAAAUUCAAGAAAGCGCACGAACGUUUCAGAGUUCGAAGCCGCACAGUUCUCGCUUGUGAAUUCACUGUGCUCGAAGAACAUCGGUAACAUUCAAGGGCCAAGUUCGCUAUAAGUUUCUUUUGGGACACGUGCGAGCGUUUCGCACUACUCGGCUCGCCCUUUGGUCGUCGAAUCGAACAUUCAAUUUCAACUUCGUCAGAUUCGAUUUUUUCGAAUGUGAUAUUACAAAAGUGAUUAAAACGAAAUAACAUUAAAUAAGUAAUGUUUCAGUAAUAACCGAAGGAAAGUAUUUUCUAUAACUUUUACAUUUCUUUACAUUCAUAAAAGUUCUUAAUUUAAUACAAGAUCGACCGUAUAAUAUACCGUAAAACUCAUUGAUUGGAUUAAACCUAACUUUAUUUACAGGUUAAAUAAAUCGAGAAACCCUUCAUAUAUAUCUAUGAGCUUCGAAGGAGGUUUCGUUAAAAAUUAUGUCAAAUAAUAUUAACCAAUUAUCACAAGUGCAGCUCUAAAGACAUGGAUGGCCUGCAACACUGUUUUUCUGCGAUAUGCAACGUCAAAAUAUCAUCCGAACAGUAGUUACUCGAUUUAUCUAGGAAAAAGGCAGGAAACAUAGGAAGAAAUUCAAUGGCUAGUCGUCGAUAUCGAAGCUGAUUAUUCGAUUCAACUCCAUUCAAGAUCGCCUACGCUCGCACACGCAUUACUCUCACCGAGCACACAUGCACACGCACGCCUCAAAGUAACGGGAAAAGGGGGACAAUAAAGGAUGAUAACAUCGAUAACAGGAUUCGGUGCUUCUUCUUCUCACGCAUCUCUGACACCGAGAUCCUCGAUCUACAUCAAAGACUCCACUAUUCUUAAACUCUCGCAAAAUCCUACAAGCCGCUUCAAACAUUAUGUUCAAAGAACAUUUUUCUUCUUCAUUGAUUCCCCGAAUUUUAUUUCAUUUUUUUAAAUCAGUCUAAUUUGCAGGAGACGCUCGUAAAAUCGGGGAAUCACAUUUUUAUCGAAGAUAACGCCACGCGUGCCGCGCAUUGAAAUCAUCGUUGCUGGAGAAGAAGAGAUAUUUAAAUCGAAAGGAAAGGUUGAUAUUACCCCUUCUUCCCGAAGGACAAGAUGAUAAUCGUGCAAGGGUUCCUUCCACGAACAGCCACGACUCUUAGAACGUUUCUAGAAAAAUGAAAAACAGGUGGAAGGAAUCGUUAUACGUGUCUAAAUGGCGCGCCGCGCGCAGACGCCAUCGUCAAAAGGCGCGAAACAAAGACAGCUCGUCCCGAACGUAGCGAUCGUUCGAAUAAAUCAGCUAUCGUUCACGGGACGAUACGAUCUCCUGUCUUCGAAUCUUCCUUUCUUCAAUUGAGAUCAUUCUUCGGCAACGAGAAGGAAUCGGGCCUGCGACGAAGAAGCGGGUUCGAAGGAAGAAGGGAGUGAAUUUCCACGACCAAAUUAUGGGAAUUUACAUUAUUAGAAGAAAGAAUUGAAAAACAAAAAUGGAAGGAGAAAGUUCUCGAAUGAAACUCGACGAAUUCGCGAAGAAGAGAAAGAAAAAAUGGCGAGCAAAAGAGAUAAGAAAUCGGAAGAAACCGGCGUUCAGGUUGAAACGAUGAGGAUGACGAUGAUCUCGCGACGAUGAACAAUGGAGGGCCGACGGAACGACCCUGACAACGGCGAUGCUGACGAUAAUAAUAUUAAUAAUAAUAAUAAUAAUACAAUUUGAUAUAAUAUAAUAAUCAUAAUAAUAAUAAUAUUAAUAAUUAAUAAUAAUAAUCCUUAUCGUUUAUAUCAAUGACGAUUAUUUAACGAUUAUCGGUAAAAUCAAAGUGUGAUAACGCUUUCUCUCUCUCUCUCUCUCUCUCUCUCUCUCUCUCUCCAUAUAUAUGUAUAUUAUAUAUAUGUAUAUAUGUAUAACGAUCUUCAAUUUCCUCCUAAAAUUGUCGGCGCGGAAGGAGGGGGGAGGAGGAUCGGGAUAGGGGAAGUAGGUAGAUCUACCAUGAAAAACCGCGUCUGUCCUUUGAUCGGGACAACAGGUAUAAUACUAUCAGUUAAUUAAUAUCAUCUCGUGUAAUAAUAAUCAUAUUAAUGACAUAGGGUAAUCGUGUUAGUGCUAAGUGUAUUUAUCAUCCGUCUUAAUAUACAUAUAUAAUUAUGUAUAUGUAUGUAUAUCUUGUACGAUAUUUAUGGUAUGUACAAUACGCAGUCUCGAAAUAUCUUUUCAUGUGCGAAGAUUGAUAGACUGGAGGGAUGACGAUAAAACAGAAUUUCUGUUGUGUGUGUACCUAUGUGUACGUGUAUAAUAUGUAUAUAUAUGACACGUGUACGUAUGAUGUAUGUGUAUUAUAAUUUAUGACAAUCGUGCGAACGAUUGAUCAGUACAGCGCGUGUCCGUGUGCUCCUCAUUCGCUCGUGUGUAUAUCGCGUACAUACGUACAUACACACACACACACAUACACACACAUGUAUAUACACACACUUAUAUAUAUAUAUAUACACGAAUAUAAUAUGCGUAUAUAUAUAUAACCGUAACUAAAGUUAAUAUAUUAACUUCUUUUCCUUUCGUCAUAUUUUUUUUCUUUUGCUUCAUUUUCUUUAGCACACAUUCUACAUAUGUACUCGAUUAUUACUCGCAAUUUCACUCGAUUUUCUUUCCUUUCUUUUUUCUUUAUAAUAGGUACUAAUUUGGGGAUCCACGGCGGCAUUAAUUAGUGGAACACUUUUUGGCAUUUGCAUUUUUUUUCUUCUUUUGCUUUAUGUUAGUCCCACGGUGUUCUUCUUCUCUGUCUCAUACACACACAUAUAACAAUUUCGCUCUCGCUGUCACACUUUCACACGUAAAUUGUUCGACCUCCGUUCUCCAGAAAGAAACGCACCCUCUUCCGCUCUCAUUUUCUGUGUUUCAAUAUCACACGUGGCCGUGUACUAUGCUCGUGCGUGUUCGUACGUGCGUUCUAUUCCUAUUUCCUUUUGUUGCUGCUGUUACUGGCAUACCGUAUGUGCGCAUGUAUAAGAUGAUGCUCGAUAUUUCUACGUUUUCUAGCAAAUCUCCUCAUUUUCAGUUUCUUCCUAGUCUCUGUUCUUCCUCCGACUUCCUAUUCUUUGCUCUAUUAUUUACUUAUUUUUUUCUUCUUCGAGAUGGUCGCGCGCGAGCAACGAGGAUGUUUCUAAAAGGUAGAACACCGGUCAGAGAUCGGUGCAUCGAGACAGGGGAUCGAAACAACGAUUCAUUAUCGAAACUUUCAUCAGCACUAUUUCGAUAAUAUUCCGAAUACGCUACAUUGAGUAUUUCGGAACGUAUACGUCAUUAAAUUCUGCAUGUUUAUUUGCUUAAAACUUUUUAAAAUCCUCUUCGUACAACAUUCUGAACAAUCUUUUAACAUUCUAGAUUUGUCAUCCAAAAUGAGAGUAAUAUUGAAAUAUAGAAAUCCAAGAAUCGCAGCAGAUUUAAAGAAUCUGGAAAAUAUCAAGUUUCCGAGCUUAAUAUUUUCGUAAAAGAAGAAUUCUCAUCGAAUCUUCGUCGACAUCUUUUCAGAAAUCCCAGACGACCAAACGCUACGCUUUUCAAUCUUUCGUCCUUGCCGUUCCACCCUCGACUCGUCAGUCUCUUCGUCUUCUUAUUUUUUAAGCUCAACGCUACCCCCUCCUCGCUUUCUUUCUAAAUCUACAUCUUCCCCCUGGGUCGCUUCCCUCUCUCGUAAGUCUCGCAGAUAUUCGCCUACGUGUGUGUGUGUGUGUGUGUGUGUGUGUGUGUGUGUAAAAUGUGUCUUUAUGCAUGUCUAGGUGUGUUAUACGUUUAUAUGUGAGAGUGUACGCAUUCGCAUUCCUUGAACUCGACACUUGGCACAAACAACAGAGUCUUUGUAAAAAAGGCACUAUUUUUGUAAAGCGAAACAUUCACGCGUUAUAUCACGUCUCGUCGCCCUCAACAUUCCUAUUCUCACCCUGGGAAAGCAGGGUCCCUCCCGUGAGACGCGUAGAGAAGGGGAAGAUACAGUCUGUGCGGAUUCACUCGUUUGCUCGAGGCCAUUUUUGCUGUCUACUCCCUUCAUUUUCCUUGAAUACUUUUUUUUCUUCUUUUAUUUUAUUUCUGUAGAUCUUUAGUUCUUUCUGCUACCGAUUUAUCAGUUGGAAGUAAGAAGAUUAAUUUAGUUUUAUGAGAGAGACUAUUUUGUUCGAAUAUUCUGUUACAUCUGGUGUUUGUUUGAAUUUCUCAAAUUUGUAAAAAUUCUAGCGCUAAUUUAUUAGACGAAUAGAAAAAUCAACUUACUCUUGAGAGAAGACGACUGUAUAAAUUAGGCAAUAGAUAUUUAUAUUUAAUCCUGUUAUGGUUUCUACAUUUCCAUAUUCUUCGAUCUCUUUCGUUUCGACGAAAGGACGAACGAAGGGACUUUAACGUUUCAAGAAAGUCAUUUGAAUAAAAUUGAAAUAUUAAGCAAUGAAAUCAUCCAUAUUAAUAAUGGUUCUUUUAUACCAGUCUUUAACUUGAGAAAUGUUUUUAACGGUUAAAACACACGAAUAAAAAAUGAUCCAGAAUGAUCUAUAUUCCUGAUUUGACUAAAAGCGAAGAUAUAGUGAAUGUAAUAUCCUAAACUUUCGUCUAAAUCACUUUAGCGUUUUACAGUAUUAUAUCAUAGGAAACUUAGGAAAUUCCAGCACCAUAGAUUUAUUAUCUUCCAUUCUCCUACAUUUACUUCCUAUAAUUUUAUUAACUCCUAAGAUCUGGCAGUAAUAAAUCAGCAAAUAGCCUCGAUAAUCAAACUAAUCUCGCACGAGCCACGAAGAACUAAAGGUCUAACUUAAAUAUCCCCUUUCGAAUUCUCAUCUUCACGUCUGCUAUGUUCCAUUCUCAUCGCUCGAUUACAUAUUCCAUCGACCCGUGUUUGCGAAGAAGAAGUCAGAGCUAGAAGAAACGUGAAAAAUAUCGUCCGCAGAGAGUUUGGCUGUAUUAAUUCCAUCGUAAGCUCCAUGAAGAGAUCACGGUAUUGGGCUGGUUCAUCGAUAUUUCGGUCGUACAGACCGCAAGGGUGCAACACACGAAGAUUCUGAAUUACGAGAAAGUCCCUCGUAGACGGUGUCGUGGUUCGUGACUCACGUCAACAUGUAUAAAAAACGUUUUCUCAGUCUUAUUGUAGUUUUAGUGCAAAAAGCGUGUGUAGCUUCCUCGAAUUGAUCAACUCGAGGAUCGCGAAUGUUUCCUUCCAACUACGGAUUACGUGCGAUCGCUGUCUGCCUAACGUUGUACGAUACGAGAAUUAUACUGUUUUUCAUCGAACUCGACGAUCGAUGAUCGGUAUUCGUGAGAUUCGAACGCUGUUACCGAUCGAUUAGAAAAUUCACGUUUCUUUCCCGGAUUUUCAUCGGUACAGGUAUUCAGGUGGAUAAAUGUCGUCGAUAGAAUGCGCAUUUUUAUGCUUUAAAAUCAUGUAGAUUAAUUUACUAAUAUCUUUCUAUUCAAAUAAAUUCAUGUUUUCAUGAAUAUGAUCGAACAAAUGAAAUCUAAGUAGAAAAUUGUUUUUGCCGGAAAAUAUUAUUACGAGUAUUAUACUUUGAAUAUGUUACACGUUCUUGCAUGUUACGUUAAUCUUUAGCGUCUUCAAAUUUCAUAUAAAUGCAUAAAAAUUCGCAAUCUGCUUCUCAGGAAUGUGAUUAUCAAAGAAUGGCAGUUUUAUUAUUCAUAGAAAUUCCAGAGUUUUUGGGCGUGUUUGAAAUCGUAAAAAUCUUGAUGAUUCACGGUGUUUCAUUUUUUAUCUUCCCUCUAUUUUUCUCUGUUAUUUUAUAUGCUUCUUAAGGUCCAACAUCUACGUCGAUCGUCGAGGUUCGACGUUCUUUCCUCCGCAAAAAGGGUAAUUUGUAAACGUAUACAAAUGUCGGGACGCUGUGUAUAGUGUAUAUAAUACAAUACGAGUAUCAAAAUUUUGAAAAGACGAUCUUUUAAUUCCAAAACGAUCCGGCCAGUGAUGUUCCUCUUUUCUGUAUAGGUGCCGUCAGCCACAAGUAUUACCACACUUGCUCACAUUCAGCGUAAAUCGAGUGCUUUUUACUGCUUUUAUUUUUAUUUAAUUCGCAUCAUAUAUGCCUUAUAAUAUAAAAUAUUAAAUAAAGUAAAAUUUGUUAGAGAUCUUUAACCCUUUAACCAGGAGGUAGGAUGAGUUAACUCGUUACUCGGAUUAACUAUCUUUUGGAUACAAUAAUUUCUCUAUUUAUAGAUGUCCUAUUUUUAAAUAUGUUCUCAUAAUUUCCCUUAAAAAUCAAUUGUAUUGUGUUUACAUUACAAGGCCUAGAAAUUGUACUGGCUGUAAUUAAUUUGUCCGUAUUUGCUUUUAGUUUCACGCUUAUUAGAUCGCGGAUGUUCGUGCGAUUUUCUCCUUCUAUCGACACGAUUAAAGAAAUGGUUUUCAAACAGAGAAUUUCGUCUUUGCAAUAUUAUAAAGAGUAUUUCGUUUUGGAUAUUUUGUAUAUUUUCACAUGUAUUACGUACAUUCUGUGCACUGUUGCGCAUUUAAAUUUCUCACAAAUGCACGAACAUCCACGGUUUAACAGUUACAAAGGCUGUCUGAUUAUAAAUUCUGGUUCAGAAAUGACCCGGUCGAGAGAAUUAAUAACGAGUAACGAGUAGGUGUCCUAAUACUUACACAGCCGACCAUAAGCGUUAGGACACCCGCUGAUAUUUAGUAAGAAUCGAAUGCUCUUCGCCUCUUUCAUCUUCUAAUUAUUUCUAAUUAUUUGUAAAUCUGUUGCUUCGUUCGCAUCAUACGUACCUUAGAGUGCAAAACACUUGUUAGUAAAGUAAAAUUUACUCGAGUUUUUCAAUAAAUGUAACGAGUCGGUGUCCUAAUACUUAUGGCCUGCAGUGUAUAGUCAGCAAUGCAUGUCCUAGAAUAACCCGUCUACGAAAGAGUCGUUUUACAAGUAGAGAAAGCAAUACCGUACGACGUUGUCGUCCCGUUCGUCCAUCGAACAACGGUAAAAUAGAACAGAUGGAAGUACUCUUGAACGAGUGAGAAGGGAAACCUUCUUCGAAGAAAAGGUUUUUCUUUCUCGAACCGUAAGAGAAAACGCGUGUUCCGUUUACUCGCUGGCACAAUGGCAGAAAAAGUCGAGGACGAUUCGCGGUGAGGAAAAAUGCAACGAACGGCGGGAAAAGUGUUUUUCUUGCUAUCGCUACUUGUGUCGAUUUCUCCUCAAGCAUCGACGAUUGCUUUUUCCUCCGUUAGUUUUCUUCUUUCCUACGGUUUCGAUCGUUCGUCUUGAUUUUAUCCGACGAUCGUUUAACCGAUUUUCUCGUGGUUGAACUGUGUCAACAUGUUUUUUUUAAAAAAGUCUUCUACCUUUUUAUAUUUUAUUUUAUGCUUUGACAGACAUUGCGCUAUACCUAAAUAAAUAUGUAGAUAUCGUUUGCUGUGAACGGAGAAGUCUCGCGUAGAUUGUGAAUUUUCUUUUACAAUUUUCGCAUGGAAUUUUUGUAUUGUAUUGUAUUAUAAAGUAAAGUGGCAUUUCCUCCAUCGGAUGAAGCAGCUUCUUUUGAAGCUCUAACGGUGUAGACAUAGAUUUGACGUAUUACAUAAAUGUAACACAAAAAUAGAAAAAGAAAAACGUUUCAUUAUAAAGUUACUGCAGGUUGUAUCUGCCAAGUCGAGGCAAAUAUAAUUUUUCAAUUUCUGUCUCGCGAUCGCAAGAUAUCACGUGCCUUCUAGUCUCUUAAAAAAGAUAAUGACACGAUAUGAAAUUAAAAUUCAACGAUGUCGAACUUCUCCACUCGUGUCAAACAACUUCUACAUAGCCGUUAGAACGAGUUUCGUUUAAAAAUUCUACAAGGUUCUAAAAGCUGAAUUUCUUAAUAAAUGAUCUUAGUCUUUCUGGCAGUGAUACUUUAUGUGCAAAUCGCACUUACAAUUUCUAACAAUCGUUAAAUACAGUUUUCCAAUAAUUUCUAGUAUGAAUUUAUCCUACCGGGCUUCCAUAUUGAAACCCAUUGUACCAUUCUCCAUUUACAUUACAUUUUAUCUCAUUUCUCAUCGAGCACAUUGACACAAUUCGAACAAUUUCAACCUCAAAAUUCCACAAAAAAAACUGACACGUCAAAUUCUCCGAGUAAUCCCAAUUUUCUCUUCUCCCUUGGCAGUGAUUAAUAUCUUACGUGCGUGAAGCUGCACAACUUCAUCGCCGAGGUAACAGUAGAGAUUUAACAUGAAAAUGUCUCUUUUGAAGCUAACGAACGGUAGCAACGAUGAACGAAGCCUCAGGAAAGAAGAAAACCGAACUUUGGUAGCGCAAGAAACGAACGACGACGGUGAACGACUUUCGAACGUGGUGUUCUUCUCUCUUUUCCUAACCGGUGUGCGCUGUUCUUAUUCUCUCUGCACUCUCUCUUUCUCUCCGGCUUUCUCGUCGACUUUUCCUUCCACAUUCUCUCCCUCCCUUUCACUCUUCCGUUGCGUCCCUCUUUCUUUGUUUAGAAAUCGUUCAAGUAGAAAAAAGAAAGCGUUACGAACGAAUAAAAAAUCGUUAGAGACAUUGACACAGCCAAAUCUUUGUUUAAACGUCUCUGUCACUCCGUGUUGUUUGUUCCGAUACAGCGUACCUAAUCUCAACUCUGGGCCGAUUCCCCUUAAAUCCUACUUUUAUUGGGAAGCAACUCGUUCUCCUCGUCCUAAUGUCUCUCCACCCACCCUCUCUUCGUUCCACACCGAACCAACUUUGAACACUUGGUGGAUAUUGCGUUGUGCGUGCACCGGACGAAUCCCGUCGCGCGGCCUUGAAAAUCGAGGAUCGUUCGGUCGGCACCUGUUCCCCUCUUCGUUUCGAUUUCUUCCCACUGGUUCACCUGUAUUUGAGCCGUUUACAGGCCAAAGUGGUUACCUCCACUUUACGACAUUUCUGAAAUGUUAGCGUCGAAGCACUUGAUCGACGUUUAUCGUAUAUAACUUGAUCAACACACGUUCAAUGCGAAGUCGACACAUAUGUCGAGGAAGAGGAAAUUAUACGGUGACGACGUCGGUAUACGUAUCGACGUCGUUCUAUUUUAUUUUUGUUUUUUUAUUUUUAAACGAAUUAAUGCGUGUUCAUCUUUUUUUUCUAGGAACAAGUAAAACGAACUUUUUUCCUCACGGAAGGUAGGACUCGUAGAGAUCCUCCCGUAUGGAACGUGUUAAUUCUCCCCGUUUUGCGUCUCGUGCAGUUAACUGAUUUAAAAAUGGCUAAUAAGCGGCUCAUUUAACCCUAACGUAGGCAACCAGCUAUCCAUUUCUAUAUUUCUCUUACCAAUUUUCAUUUCCUAACGAAGAUAUUCUUCCGGGACGAUUAUAACAAGGAUCUCCUCCCUUUGAAUAUUUCUAAAAUUUAUGUAAAACUUUUAAAUAUCGAAGCUUCAAACUUUAUACAUUUAUUAGAUAACCAUGGAGCUUUGGUUGCCUACGCGAGGGGUAUUUUCUUUCUCGUUGCUUUUCAUAUGGUAUAGUAUAAUUUUGUAUCAUAUAUUCUUUUUAUAUAAUUUUCGAAAAAUUGGCUUUUGAAGAGAAUCGAAAGGGGAUUAACGGUAGCCUGACCGAACGAGGAUAUGCAAUAGAGAUCGUGGACGCGCGAUGGUUCCCCAAAAUUCGUUCUAAUUCGUCCUAAUUUUGUUUGUUAACAUCGCGGGAAAGCUGCGGACGAUUACGUGGACCGGUCCACGGUAUAAAUAUCCGGCGAGUCGUCCGGUUCGUCGCACAGAAUCGAAACGUAACUCGUUUUGGCUGACUAAAAGACACACAGCGUUCCUUUUGAUCGAUCCUGACCGAUCCACGUCAGCCAACCUAAUCUAUUUAAUUACUUACUAAUAACAAACACUGGCUCUCCGUGACUUCUGUACGUAUAUGUAUGUCUAGUGCAUACAUGUAUAAGUAUGUGUAUGUGUAUACAUAAGUUUAUUUGAAGGUUUUGUACGGUGAGCUGUACGGUUUCUCGCUCUUCCGGGGAGGAAUAAAAAAAGGAUAUUUGAUCUCGUCUGAUCGCGUUCUUCCUCCCUAUGUGCUAUGUAGUUAAAAUUCUUUUUUUUUUUUCCUACUCGAAUAUGCUCGAACUUUUA